UCAAGACCUUCCCUCUCACUUGUCUACAACACCUUUUUGUACCUGCAAAGCAUAGUAGCCACGGUAACAGUCUUCAACAGUGCCACUGCAUGAAUACCCAAGUGCUUCUUUGGCCAAAUGUCAAGACCUUCCCUCUCACUUGAACUCUCUGGUACCACCUGCAGAAAAACAUUUUAGAAAAAUUGGGCAAUAUAAAUAGCAUGAUCAACAAAACUUUGGGUGGAAAGGUUGGAUAUUUCUUCCUGCUGCCAUUACAACCUUUAAGUGUGACCUUGAUUUUCAUGUACAGUAUUUUUUUUAAAGGAGCCUCUGCUUCACUCUUCAGAUCCUUUGUAUGAACCUUUUCUUCUCUGCAGCUUGCCUGGAUCCCUGUUUCUGACUGCAAAGAAUGCUGGGCAGAAACUGGGCAUAAGUGUGCCUAUCCCCCCAGGGUUAGCCCUACGACAAGGCAGAGUCAGGUCACCACCAGAUUCUGAUGAUCAUGAAUAAGCAGCAAACAGCCAUGCUAUUUAUUGCUGUGUUUUUACCACAAGGAUCAGAAACAACAGCUUGUUUGCUUUUCUGCAGCUAAUGCCAAAGCAAUCUUACUGGUCUUGAGCAUGAUGUACCUUUGCACUUCUGUCUCAGGCAGCAGAAUGAUUUGGGGCUGGGGCCAGGAUUCAUAAGCACUUAACCCCAGGAACCAUGUGGUUGCCAGGAUGUGAAACUGCCCCCUGAAAACAGGAAAUGUUUUCUAGGUGGUGACUACUCAGAAGUGGUUUACUGUUCCCUUUUUCUGGGCAGCACCCUGGCAGUGUACAGGUUUCCCAUGGCUAGAUAGGCUGUCUCUUCUCUUGGGAGGCAGGGUGGGGAACCGAAUCCCCAGCCUUUGGCUCUGCUCUCAGAUACAGUACUUAAAUCACUGAGCUAUCUAUCCUGCCAGCUUACCAAUAAGGACCACUGAGAAAUCGCAGGCAAGACCGACCUCACCUUUCACGGAAGGAGAAGAGAGACAGGUGCUCGGCAGCCAGGUCAGCCUUGCACCUCCCGAAUCAAGCACUAGAGAAUGCAGUUCUUCAGGAUCCCUUCCACGCUCCUGGCAGUUCUCUCCCCUUCGGGCCUCUUUCGCUCCCACAAGCCGUCUGCCCUUUAGCGCAAACCAGAUCGGUGCCGUCCUCUUUUUCUUUUUUGAGUUCCCAGGCCACUCAGAGGCUGGACUUGUUCAGCCCUCUCCUCCCCCACCCAAGGCCGCCUAUUCCCGGGGCCCCCUUUUAGAUUCAGCGGGUUUUCACGGCGGAGCUAAAGAUACCAUCUGGAGCCUUAUAAAUCGAGUCCCUGCCGCAGGGUUGGCACUCCAUUACAAUGAAAGAUUUUCGCGCACUUUACAACCUCCCCGGCCCGCGCCGACAGCAGUACAGAUGAAGAUUCAGUACAAAUCAAGUGUCGUGAACAGGCUGCUGUCCCCUUUUAUUCAGGAUGGUACACUUCUGCAGAAUACAAAUUUCAUCUGUUUCUGGUGAGUCCUUUGUCUGGUUUGUAUUGGUUCUUUGACAUUUGCAUCUGGCAACCAUAUUCUUUCCUCCUGCCUAUCAGAAGAAGUUGGACAUUAUCUCUUCUUACCCAACAUGUGGUCAACUUAGGGAAGGG
Molecule: long non-coding RNA, 1626 nt
Organism: Pogona vitticeps (central bearded dragon)
Lineage: Eukaryota; Metazoa; Chordata; Lepidosauria; Squamata; Agamidae
Source: Ensembl